UGAGGAAUUUUGCGCAAUGGGGGAAACCCUGACGCAGCAACGCCGCGUGAGUGAUGAAGGCCUUCGGGUCGUAAAGCUCUGUCAAGUGGGAAGAAUCUGCUCUGUGAUAAUACCACGGGGCACUGACGGUACCACUGAAGGAAGCACCGGCUAACUCCGUGCCAGCAGCCGCGGUAAUACGGGGGGUGCUAGCGUUAUUCGGAAUCAUUGGGCGUAAAGGGCGCGUAGGCGGUCUCUUAAGUCAGAUGUGAAAGCCCUCGGCUUAACCGGGGAAGUGCAUUUGAUACUAAGAGACUUGAGUAUGGGAGAGGGAAGCGGAAUUCCUGGUGUAGCGGUGAAAUGCGUAGAUAUCAGGAGGAACACCGGUGGCGAAGGCGGCUUCCUGGACCAAUACUGACGCUGAGGCGCGAAGGCGUGGGGAGCAAACAGGAUUAGAUACCCUGGUAGUCCACGCAGUAAACGGUGAACACUAGGUGUAGCGGGUAUUGACCCCUGCUGUGCCGAAGCUAACGCAUUAAGUGUUCCGCCUGGGAAGUACGGCCGCAAGGUUA
This 551-nucleotide ribosomal RNA is filed under the name uncultured bacterium. RNAcentral describes it as "bacterial SSU rRNA". It matches the Rfam family "Bacterial small subunit ribosomal RNA", at positions 355 to 896 of the family's 1533-position model. The record is from RNAcentral.